Molecule: ribosomal RNA, 468 nt
Filed under: uncultured bacterium
Lineage: Bacteria
Description: partial 16S ribosomal RNA
Rfam family: Bacterial small subunit ribosomal RNA
Source: RNAcentral
GACGAACGCUGGCGGCGUGCUUAACACAUGCAAGUCGAACGGAAAGGCCCUGCUUUUGUGGGGUGCUCGAUUGGCGAACGGGUGAGUAACACGUGAGUAACCUGCCCUUGACUUUGGGAUAACUUCAGGAAACUGGGGCUAUUACCGGAUAGGAGCUCCUGCUGCAUGGUGGGGGUUGGAAAGUUUCGGCGGUUGGGGAUGGACUCGCGGCUUAUCAGCUUGUUGGUGGGGUAGUGGCUUACCAAGGCUUUGACGGGUAGCCGGCCUGAGAGGGUGACCGGCCACAUUAGGACUGAGAUACGGCGCAGACUCCUACGGGAGGCAGCAGUGGGGAAUAUUGCACAAUGGGCGGAAGCCUGAUGCAGCAACGCCGCGUGCGGGAUGACGGCCUUCGGGUUGUAAACCGCUUUCGCCUGUGACGAAGCGUGAGUGACGGUAAUGGGUAAAGAAGCACCGGCUAACUACGUG